GAUAAUGUUUUAUGAUAUUGAUUUGAUAAUAGAAAAGAAAUGUUAAAAUAAAAUUAUUUAGACGAGCAUCAGAUAUAUCGUAAUUGUUUGCUUUAUUUUAAUGAAAUUAUAUGAAGAUCUUUUUGUUUUUCUUAAUUUUAUUUUAUUUUGUUGUUCAUCGGAUAUAUUCAAAAAUUAAGCAUCCUGUAGAUUUAAUGUUUGGAAUAUUUUUUGUAAAUCAAUGGUUUUUUUUGUCGGAAAUCAAUAGGCUUGUCAUAUUUGAGCACCUUACAUCAUGGGGUAAUAUCCCUGAAAACAAUUUUUCUUUGUUUUGUUCAUCAAUUUUUUUUUUAAUAUUUAGUUAAAACUUAAAAGUAAGCAAUAACAUGGUGUUUUAGAUAUGUGUAAUGGUCAAUAUCAAC
This 401-nucleotide long non-coding RNA is filed under the name Brassica rapa (field mustard). Its description in RNAcentral is "long non-coding RNA (BRAP_LNC001656)". The record is from RNAcentral. Lineage: Eukaryota; Viridiplantae; Streptophyta; Magnoliopsida; Brassicales; Brassicaceae.